CGACGUUGUUGCUUUAUUAAUAUUUGGAUCUAAAAUGAUAAGUAAAUGCAUUGAUGAGCGCCUGAUAUAAAACUAGAUUAGAAUCCAGAAUAUACGAAAGCACUAAAAGCCCGGGCCUCAAUUCCACACACUGUGUUGAAAUUCCGUCACACUAAGUAUCCUAAAUACACAGUGAUGAUGUCACUUUCGUGCUCGGGACCACACUUGCCCAAAUCAACCAGGUUAGAUUUGUUGAGAACAUCAAGAUAUAUUGGGAAAAAUAUAAAUCCCAUAAAGCAAUCAUCCAGUAUUUGUCAAAUGCACGGUCACGCAUCAUCCAAUUGUAAUAAGAAAGCAGUGUGUGUCAAUGUGUACAGCAUGAUACCAGGUCCUGCAGCAAAACCUCAGAAACUUCUCCAAUAUGCACCAACUAUAAAAGCAUUCACCCGGCUAACUAUUCCAAAUGUUCUGUUCUAUUAGCUUUUCUGGCCAAAAAGACCGCUAACAAAGAAAGAAUUCAACACGCUCAGUAAUUUUUCUCAAACACACACCUCCCAGUACAAAGCUUCCCGCACCUUAUUCCUAACAAAAUCCCUACCACCUUCCCUCUCACUCAAACAAAUCAGAGAAUAAAGCAAGGAAUAUCGUAAGAUGAUAGCGGUAUUACUUCAGCCAUUCUCACAACUUUAACAAAUUGAACACUCGAUCAACACAAAUCUCUCCGACCAAAUAGACGAUAUUAAAUCAGCAAAUCUGAACCAGUUCCUGAGAAUCAUAGUGCUCGUACAAAAACAUUACACGAAAUGUACCAAUAAUCUAGAAAGAAUUCGAGCAACCAUCUUAAUAAUGAAAAAACUUGACAAUGGACAGCUAUAAAAACUUAAUAUUAUCUUAUGAAACCAGCAGCGUUAAAAAGAAGGUAUCUGAACUUCACAAAUUUCUAAUGGACCACAACACAGAAAUUGCAAUCAUCACAGAAUCCUGACUCACCCCAAAAGACAUCUUCAAAAUUCCUAAUUAUAAAAUAUACAGACAAGACGGACCACGAACCAUUAAGAAUAAACCAAGAGGCGGAGUACUAAUAGCUUUACAUAAGAAUGUUCCUACAGAAGACAUGCCACAACCCGUUACCUGUACUAUUUGCCAUCAAGACUAAAACCACUCCCAACCUAACGAUUGGAGCAGCACAGUCUUUUCCAAGUUAAAAUAAACCCAUCUGUCAUCGUAUUGCCUCAAGGAUCUGGAUUUUACAUAAUCGACGGUGACUUCAAUGUCAAGAAAUAAUAUCAAACUUAUGGAAUAAUAUCAAAAGAAAUGUGAACCGAUUCCAUCCUCAAGAACCAUUUCGAGCUACAUAACUAUUAAAUCAUCCAUAGCUCAUUUGGUUAAACUGCAGUCCCACCAACAUUGAUAUCUUUCUGUCAAAUGUCCCCUUCUCACACAAUUACCACAAGUUAUCAUCAAAUUAUCUUCCGGUUGUCCUCUCACUUUCAACUCGAAACAACGCAGACGACAAUACCCAACUAUACAAACCGAUUGGAACACAUUCACCAAAAACCGCAGCAAAUUCAAAAUAAAUCAGUAACUACUAAUCACAGUUGACACUGACAACGAAAUUAAAAUCUUCACCUGACUCAUUCAAAGAUCCUUUCGAAACGCAACGCACAAAAUUCCAAACCUACUUCUGUACACUCCAGGACUUCAUAAAAGAGAGAGACAAAAAAGUAGACGAAAAUUCCAAAAACCUGGUAACCUUUUCUACAAGCUACACAGAAACUUGCUCUCAUCCGCAAACAUUAAGAAGAUCACUGGACCCGGAUACUAAUACAGAAUUCUGCAUGCCACAUCCUCUACUACACAGACGAAGAAAAAGCUGAAAGCUUGGCUGAAAACUUCGAAAAAAUUUACAAUUCUGCACGGAACACAAACUGUUUCAUCGAACACAAAAUUGAAUGACUCGCAACUCUACUACUCAGGAACCUUCCCAAAAAACAAUCUUGUUCGAGUUCGUUAGAGUGAUACAGUCUCUCAUAGAUGAAUUGACCUACAGUCGAGCCGUCUAUUCAAUAGAAUAUUCCGAUAGUCAUUCUUCCAUUCAUUAUUCUUCCCUAAAAAGAGAUAACAAUGCACUAAGCACAAACAAUGAU
Long non-coding RNA from Frieseomelitta varia, 2126 nucleotides. RefSeq lists it as uncharacterized. The record is from RefSeq and is a predicted model, not a curated record. The transcript has 2 exons. Lineage: Eukaryota; Metazoa; Arthropoda; Insecta; Hymenoptera; Apidae.